ACUUUAAACUUAAAGGGUUAAACUAGAACUUUUGCCUUUUUCUUUUCAUUUUCUAAAAUUUCUUGGGCGAUCGGACGGUGUGAAAUUAAUCAAAGGCAAUCUGCGAAGAAAGCAUUUCGUCUGGGUCAGGUAUUUGACAUUGAUGGGGUUUGAAAAGAUCUUCUCUCAUUAACAAUCCCACAUUUUCUUUUCGAUUUUAAUUUUUGAGGGUUCUCCAUCGCAUCAAAAUGUCAGGAGAAACGGCUCUGUUUAAAUUCCUAAAGCCUAGGCGUCGUCCUCAAUCCACUGAUGUACAGGCCGCCGCCUUCUGGGGCAUCGCCGCCGCCUCCGCAGCUCUCUAUAUUAUACAGCCAUUUGAUUGGAUUAAGAAGACCUUCAUUGAUAAGGAGCCUGAAGGAAAGUGAACAACGAUCAAAUUUUUGAAUAGCUUUUUGAUAUCUUUCAUGAUGUUGGCAAUGAGAAACCUUGAGUGAAGCUGAUAUGAAUAAUGUUGUUUCAUUUUCUAGUUGUCGUUGAGGCCUUGUUGGCAUUAAUUCCUGGCUUAAGUGGACAAUUUUAAACUCAAGUGUUUGUUUUUUUUAAUCUUAAUUGUACUUCUGCUUUUGCUCUC
Molecule: long non-coding RNA, 610 nt
Organism: Manihot esculenta (cassava)
Lineage: Eukaryota; Viridiplantae; Streptophyta; Magnoliopsida; Malpighiales; Euphorbiaceae
Exons: 2
Source: RefSeq, a predicted model, not a curated record